RNAcentral lists this ribosomal RNA (463 nucleotides) under Salmonella enterica. Its description in RNAcentral is "partial 16S ribosomal RNA". It matches the Rfam family "Bacterial small subunit ribosomal RNA", at positions 1 to 460 of the family's 1533-position model. RNAcentral also lists the same sequence under 1 other name. Lineage: Bacteria; Pseudomonadati; Pseudomonadota; Gammaproteobacteria; Enterobacterales; Enterobacteriaceae. The record is from RNAcentral.
AAAUUGAAGAGUUUGAUCAUGGCUCAGAUUGAACGCUGGCGGCAGGCCUAACACAUGCAAGUCGAACGGUAACAGGAAGCAGCUUGCUGCUUUGCUGACGAGUGGCGGACGGGUGAGUAAUGUCUGGGAAACUGCCUGAUGGAGGGGGAUAACUACUGGAAACGGUGGCUAAUACCGCAUAACGUCGCAAGACCAAAGAGGGGGACCUUCGGGCCUCUUGCCAUCAGAUGUGCCCAGAUGGGAUUAGCUAGUUGGUGAGGUAACGGCUCACCAAGGCGACGAUCCCUAGCUGGUCUGAGAGGAUGACCAGCCACACUGGAACUGAGACACGGUCCAGACUCCUACGGGAGGCAGCAGUGGGGAAUAUUGCACAAUGGGCGCAAGCCUGAUGCAGCCAUGCCGCGUGUAUGAAGAAGGCCUUAGGGUUGUAAAGUACUUUCAGCGGGGAGGAAGGUGUUGUGGU